AGCGAACGCUGGCGGCAGGCUUAACACAUGCAAGUCGAGCGGGCACUUUCGGGUGUCAGCGGCGGACGGGUGAGUAACGCGUGGGAACGUGCCCUCUGGUUCGGAAUAACUCAGGGAAACUUGAGCUAAUACCGGAUACGCCCUUUUGGGGAAAGGCUUGCUGCCGGAGGAUCGGCCCGCGUCUGAUUAGCUAGUUGGUGAGGUAACGGCUCACCAAGGCGACGAUCAGUAGCCGGUCUGAGAGGAUGAUCAGCCACACUGGGACUGAGACACGGCCCAGACUCCUACGGGAGGCAGCAGUGGGGUAUAUUGGACAAUGGGCGCAAGCCUGAUCCAGCCAUGCCGCGUGAGUGAUGAAGGCCUUAGGGUUGUAAAGCUCUUUUAUCCGGGACGAUAAUGACGGUACCGGAGGAAUAAGCCCCGGCUAACUUCGUG
RNAcentral lists this ribosomal RNA (435 nucleotides) under uncultured bacterium. RNAcentral's name for it is "partial 16S ribosomal RNA". It matches the Rfam family "Bacterial small subunit ribosomal RNA", at positions 29 to 507 of the family's 1533-position model. The record is from RNAcentral.